GGGGAUUUAGCUCAGCGGCAUAAGCGCCUGCCUUGCAAGCAGGCAGUUGUUAGUUCGAUCCCCG
This is a transfer RNA of Cavia porcellus (domestic guinea pig), 64 nucleotides long. It matches the Rfam family "tRNA". Rfam says of the family: Transfer RNA (tRNA) molecules are approximately 80 nucleotides in length. NCBI's taxonomy places the organism in Eukaryota, Metazoa, Chordata, Mammalia, Rodentia, Caviidae. The record is from Rfam.